CCUGUAUCCCAGUCAUUUUGUGGUGGGAUUUUAGUUCCUGGCCACUUGAAAGUUCUCGUUAUGAAUGUCAGAUAUGCAGAUCCAUAUUAGGUUGCUGAAGAGCUGCAUUAUUUCAACACAGCCCCAUCUCUUCACCGGGUGAUUUAUCCACAGCAGCAAAAGGCACUGUCAAUAAACCACAGGUAGACUUUUGGGAAACCAACACUUCAAACAGAGAUUUGCCUUUCUCUGCAAAGGAUAUGGAUGAAGUAUAACAGAGAAUUAGAGGUGGUCUCUGAUGCAGGGGACGUAACAAAGAUCACAUUUUCACUGCACACCCUUGCAGGAGUCUGUGUGUGACAAUUUCUGACAAUCAGUGCAAAUCAAGCACCGUGCACCACGCUGAGCCUGGAAUCAGCAUGCACCACACAGCCCUCAGGAGAGAAAGAGGUGGUGCUGCUGGAGAUGGAAACUGGUGUGGAUUCAAACUCCGAAAAGUAGAAAAAUAGAUCCCCUGAUGACAAAAUCACACCUGGUGUUAAAGCCUAGGCUCUCAUUAAGUAAUGAUUAUUGCCUGCUGUGUAUAAAAAUAGCCAACACAAAUAGCAGAACUUAGCAGUGCUAAUUUAAUAGUUGACUGUGCUUACGGGUGUUCAGUGGAGCAGAGAGAAUAAUCUGCUGAGAGUUGUAUAUUGAGUGAUUCCAGUCCCUCUAUUCUGCUUCUGGAAUAAGCACAAACAGAUCACAAUUUCCUGGAGUUCAUCUCUUCAAAUAUCUUUUAUUAACAACUUUUCCCAGAUACAAUUGACUGGGUUGAUUGAUCAUGAAUAUUCUCAAUUCAAACCGCUGUGUGUGCUUGUGGUUAAUCAGAUAAGUCACAUUUUAUCAUUUUUGUUGACUGUCUGGGUAAAUUCACAACAGCUUUCAGGGAGCUGAACCCAGCCAUGUGCUAAAGAAAGCAAAUGUACAAAAAAACCACAUACAUCUAAAGCAUAUUUAUCAAAACACAUUUUCAUUAGUUAUGUUUGGUAGAAAAGCAUCAUAACUGUGCAUUAACUAAAAGGAGAAUGGGACCUGCAACUUUGCACUUCAUGGAAAAUUACAUUUUGCUAUUGCAGAUGUGUAUUCUAGUGGGUAAUGUGUGUAUUUCUAUAUAUUGCUAAAUAUUUCUAUAUAUUGCUAUAUUUCCUUCACAAUUUAAGGUGACAUGAGACUCAUCCACUGCCUUUUCAAUGUUGGAAGGAAAUAUGCUGGAAAGGAAUAGAAGACUUAAAUACUUUAGAAUGUAAAAUGGUAACCAGCUAAUGACACAAAAUACAGCACAGUUUGGGAUUUUACAGAUCACUCUAAUGCCCUCAUGUGAUUCAUGUAUGGUCCUCUCACAGAGGAGCAAGAAUUUUUAAUAUUUAUUUUUCAGUGCUUGGGUCAAUGGGGAAGCCUGGGAGGUGUUAUCUGCUAAAACUAAACUAAACUUCAAA
Passer montanus (Eurasian tree sparrow) is the source of this 1457-nucleotide long non-coding RNA. RefSeq lists it as uncharacterized. Lineage: Eukaryota; Metazoa; Chordata; Aves; Passeriformes; Passeridae. The transcript is spliced from 3 exons. The record is from RefSeq and is a predicted model, not a curated record.